Anas platyrhynchos (mallard) is the source of this 1406-nucleotide non-coding RNA. The record is from RefSeq and is a predicted model, not a curated record. Lineage: Eukaryota; Metazoa; Chordata; Aves; Anseriformes; Anatidae.
CUGGACUUGAUGAUCCUUAUGAGUGACUUCCAACUCAGGAUAUUCUAUGAUUCUAUUUCCCCACAAUCAGGAAAAUUUUAAAAGUCUAAUAUGGUGCAACAUUUUAUUCCCUUGUUACUAAACAUGACUUUAAGAACAUUUCUACAACCAUUAAAUUUGAGUUUUAAAAAAUAGUCCUUUAUAUUUUAAAAAUAUAAAAUUUGCUGCAGCAGAUGGAUUACUGUUCAAUAUAUUAUUUACUACCACAACAUGAAGUAUACAGUAAAUACCUUAAAUUGACAGGGUUUCUCAGACUUUUUCUCUAUUAAUAGAUGUCCUUUCUGGAAACUUCUUCCCUACUGAAGUAAAAAAAAAGACAAACACAAAAACAAUUAAUUUAGCUUUUCUGCAACGCUCUUUUUCUUUUAGUGCUCAGAAAAUGUUAAUUCUAGACAUAUAUUGAGGUCAAACCAUUUGGAUCAUCUUUUUAGAACCUUUACUCACAUUGGAACAAAUUAAUCCCAGUGAUGCCAAUUAAUGGGAUAUUAGUGGAAUCACUCUCCAAUAUUAGGUUAUGUCACUUUCAAAGAAAGUGCUGUAAGUGUUUGGUAAGUGACAAAGAAAUUGUCAGAAGUGUUGAGGCAAACACUAUAGCACACAUGUGCAGACAUAUCCACUAUCUAAUAAUCUACAUUAAACAGCUCACAGAGAACAUAGACAAACAUAGCAACACUCCCAUUUAAAGUUAUUUUUUUUAGUUCUUGUUUAUACGAUACACCACUUUAUUCAAAAAUGUUCCCCCUCAGAUUUACAGCUUGCAAGUGCUUUUGUCUACCAUGCUUUUGAUAUGAGCAGGGUAUGCCGGAGGGAUCAGGACCUCCUGUGGACCUCUGAUGAACCAGCUGACAGGGAAUACCCAACUUCUGCUGUAACAGCAUUUCUGCUGUCCUCUGUGUAAAAUGAGAGCUCCUGGGAAUGUUAACACAAGCUGAAAAGAAAUGCCAGUGCUCUAAUUUUCUAGAGCAAAACUUUUCUUCCCUACAAUUCUGCUAAGAUGCAACUCAGCACUGGGCCAUGGCAAAGCCCAAGCUGUGUGCCAUACUUUGGCUGGCAGGAUGUGUUACCUGGUUAGGAAAUGUGCUUUAUAGAUCUGAUCUAGCAUUCUCAACAGAGAAUGCCAUGCUAAUGCAGAAGAAAAAGUGGGAAAUGCGAACUGAACUCUGUAAGAAAUUCACUAAUUAACAUAACUAAUGAGACACUUGAACACAUUGUCUGGGAUGAAAAGCAGUUCAAAAUGUUUGCUCAAUGGGCUAUAACAGAUGCUUGUUAAAAUCUAUGGAGCUAGACCAUAAGCCCUGAGACACUGCUGUACAUGAAGUUUCUUUUUUGGUUUAUUUGAUUUUUUUAAAUGUAUUAUUAUUUCUUUA